Molecule: ribosomal RNA, 402 nt
Filed under: uncultured bacterium
Lineage: Bacteria
Description: bacterial SSU rRNA
Rfam family: Bacterial small subunit ribosomal RNA
Source: RNAcentral
GACGAACGCUGGCGGCGUGCUUAACACAUGCAAGUCGAGCGGUAAGGCCCUUUCGGGGGUACACGAGCGGCGAACGGGUGAGUAACACGUGGGUGACCUGCCCUCAGCUCUGGGAUAAGCCCGGGAAACUGGGUCUAAUACUGGAUAUGACUCCAUGACGCAUGUUGUGGGGUGGAAAGCCUUGUGCGGCUGAGGAUGGGCCCGCGGCCUAUCAGCUUGUUGGUGGGGNGAUGGCCUACCAAGGCGACGACGGGUAGCCGGCCUGAGAGGGCGACCGGCCACACUGGGACUGAGACACGGCCAAACUCCUACGGGAGGGCAGCAGUGGGGAAUCUUGCGCAAUGGGCGAAAGCCUGACGCAGCGACGCCGCGUGAGGGAUGACGGCCUCGGUGUAACUACUU